GACGGUCAUCGCUGAUCUCUCCCAUGCGUUUAUGUGUUAAUUUGUUCAUAACUUCAGCAAAUAUGGCUGCUUGCUGCUGGCCGAACACAAGGACAAAGAGUUGAUUAGAAAGUCUUGUUUUAUUUGGACUAACAAGUCAACCUAGCUAGAAAUGGUUUUUCCAAUCAUUGGAACUCAAAUUUGUUCCCGCCUUCCAUCACCCAAUUCGGAGAAGCACCAACUUCAUAGCAGGGUUCUUCUUUGAUCUGUAAAUACCCUUUCUUAUGCAAUUACUUAAGGCUCUUGAGUUCGGUUUUCUCUACAAGCUUCAGAGAGUUGUUGGGGAGAGAUUGUAUGUGAGAUUAAGGGUGUAUUUUAGCUAAGGAUCUGGGAGUUCUUCACCGUUGUACCCACAAUGACAAUGUGAUAGUAAAGCUGUACUCCUUCCUAGGGUCCUUGGCUAAAAACCGAACCUCAUUAGAGCUGAUGCUUGCCAUGCACGAUCCUCAUUCCAGCAUUAUUUUUUAUCCCAGAAUCCCCAAGGUGGCUGGCAAAAAUGGGGACGAUGGAAGAUUUUGAAGCUUCCUUGCAAGUUUUGAGGGGAUUCGAUACUGACAUUACUGCUGAAGUCAAUGAAAUCAAGGUGCAAACAUCAACUAAAUCUGUAACCGA
Long non-coding RNA from Asparagus officinalis (garden asparagus), 651 nucleotides. RefSeq lists it as uncharacterized. Lineage: Eukaryota; Viridiplantae; Streptophyta; Magnoliopsida; Asparagales; Asparagaceae. The record is from RefSeq and is a predicted model, not a curated record. The transcript has 3 exons.